Molecule: ribosomal RNA, 439 nt
Filed under: uncultured bacterium
Lineage: Bacteria
Description: partial 16S ribosomal RNA
Rfam family: Bacterial small subunit ribosomal RNA
Source: RNAcentral
CUACGGGAGGCUCCAGUGGGGAAUAUUGCACAAUGGAGGAAACUCUGAUGCAGCAACGCCGCGUGGAGGAUGACACUUUUCGGAGCGUAAACUCCUUUUAUAUAGGAAGAAGAUGACGGUACUAUAUGAAUAAGCGCCGGCUAACUCCGUGCCAGCAGCCGCGGUAAUACGGAGGGCGCAAGCGUUACUCGGAAUCACUGGGCGUAAAGAGCGUGUAGGCGGAUUAAAAAGUCAGAAGUGAAAUCCUAUAGCUUAACUAUAGAACUGCUUCUGAAACUCUUAAUCUAGAAUAUGGGAGAGGUAGAUGGAAUUUCUGGUGUAGGGGUAAAAUCCGUAUAGAUCAGAAGGAAUACCGAUUGCGAAGGCGAUCUACUAGAACAUUAUUGACGCUGAGACGCGAAAGCGUGGGGAGCAAACAGGAUUAGAUACCCUCGUAGUC